UAGGGAAUCUUCCGCAAUGGGCGAAAGCCUGACGGAGCAACGCCGCGUGAGUGAUGAAGGUCUUCGGAUCGUAAAACUCUGUUAUUAGGGAAGAACAAAUGUGUAAGUAACUAUGCACGUCUUGACGGUACCUAAUCAGAAAGCCACGGCUAACUACGUGCCAGCAGCCGCGGUAAUACGUAGGUGGCAAGCGUUAUCCGGAAUUAUUGGGCGUAAAGCGCGCGUAGGCGGUUUUUUAAGUCUGAUGUGAAAGCCCACGGCUCAACCGUGGGGGGUCAUUGGAGACUGGAAAACUUGAGUGCAGAAGAGGAAAGUGGAAUUCCAUGUGUAGCGGUGAAAUGCGCAGAGAUAUGGAGGAACACCAGUGGCGAAGGCGACUUUCUGGUCUGUAACUGACGCUGAUGUGCGAAAGCGUGGGGAUCAAACAGG
This 429-nucleotide ribosomal RNA is filed under the name Actinomycetes bacterium. Its description in RNAcentral is "Actinobacteria bacterium partial 16S ribosomal RNA". It matches the Rfam family "Bacterial small subunit ribosomal RNA", at positions 355 to 776 of the family's 1533-position model. The record is from RNAcentral. Lineage: Bacteria; Bacillati; Actinomycetota; Actinomycetes.